Molecule: long non-coding RNA, 990 nt
Organism: Erinaceus europaeus (western European hedgehog)
Lineage: Eukaryota; Metazoa; Chordata; Mammalia; Eulipotyphla; Erinaceidae
Exons: 3
Source: RefSeq, a predicted model, not a curated record
CUCGGAGCAGUCGUCCACAGCCAGACACCAACAUAGCGAGAGCCGCCAUCUUGACAAUCAACGCUGACCUCUGGUAUACUUCCGCUUCCGGGACAGCGCGCGCGCAGCCGUAGUUGUAAUCAGGCGCUCUGAGCCAGAAAUCGAGAGGGAAGGGGGAGAGAGACAGACACCUGCAACACUGCUUCACUCGCAAAGCUUCCCCCCUGCAGGUGGGGACCUCGGGCUCGAACCAGGUCCUUGAGCACUGUAACAUCUGAGCUUAACCAGAAUUUGGAUACUUUCAUGUUGGAAGUGCUCUGAUGAUUACUCUUCUACAAUGUAGAAUCUACAUAAUUGGAAAUUGGGUGGUAGUGCAGCGGGUUAAGCAGACAUGGCACAAAGUCAAGGACCAGCAUAGGGAUCCCGGUUUGAGCCCCUGGCUCCUCACCUGCAGGGGGUCGCUUCACAAGGAGUGAAGCAGGUCUGCAGGUGUCUUUUUCUCUCCCUCUCUGUCUUUCCCUCCUCUCUCCAUUUCUCUGUCCUAUCAAACAACAGCAAUAUCAACAACAACAACAAUAAUAAUAACCACCACAAUGGUAAAACAUCAAAGGUAACAAAAAGGGGGGAAAAAAGUCUCCAGGAGCAGUGGAUUCAUGGUGCAGGCACGGAGCCCCAGCAAAAACCCUGGAGGCAAAAAAAAAAAAAAAAGAAUCUACAUGAUUACUGGUGAACAUAAGAACACAGUUCUCUUUACCUUUAUUAUGUGUCUAAAAGUUUGUUACAUGUGUAUGUAUAUAUAUAUUCAACUUUAGUAUAUACUGACAACUAGUUUUCCAUAGUAGUUGUGCUGGUUGACUCUGUUAUCAGCUGUGUAUAAGAGUUUUAGUUGCAAAUGAUUUGGAAAAAGAAAAAUAUAUUAUAUAUAAAGAAAAUAUGUUAUACUAGCAGCCCAAGGUAGAGAAAGUAUUGAACUCUCAAGCAUGAGGUCUUGAGUUCAAUACCCUGCAUCAA